UCCUGUUGCCUACAAGAUAUAGGAUUCUCAGCUGCUCCUCCAUCACCUCGUCUGCCUGCAUGCCGCCAUGCUCCAGCCAUAAACGACAAUGGCUAAACCCCUGAAACUAGGCCAAGAUGUCCCCGCAACACACCCUCCUCGUUUAUAUAAUGUACACAAUGAACUAGAUGACUCCGAGCUCUAACAUAGGAGGCGGCCACUGUCUGCAGAUCUGGCUUCCAGAUUAUUCACCAUGUGGCGACACACCUCGGCCCUCACAAACGCCGAUUUCCCUGCCCUGACGACGACCCUCGGGGAGGCAUCCAAAUGCAGGAACACGGUGCAGCGACUUUAGGCUCAAAGAACCGUUUGUAUCUUGAAGAUCCUUCUAUGGUUGUAAAGCACCGCGCACAUCUGUUUCGUGACCUCUCCCUGAGGCCCUUGUGCUGUGCACUGCCAACCAUUUCCACAUCUGCCCUUCCUGUACUGCAAGGUCCUUUACCAUAAUUUCUUCUUGUCCGAGCACUAGCUGAUGUCAUGACUUUUUACACACUGGAUUUUCAUCAAGUGGGACUCAUUUAAACUGAGAUGAUUCUCCUCCAGUAAACUCCGGAACACCACAGAAAGGUACUUGGUCGCUUCUGUUGCCCAGUGGGCAUGGAAGCCAGGACACACAAGAAAAAGCCCUCAGAUACUGAGCUUCCUACAGCCUAGUGAGUGUUUACACUGAGUAGAGUUCAGAAAAUUGCUUUGUGUAAUUUGGUCUUCCAACUCCUUUAUUUUAUUUCUAAAUUAUAUUCUUAGUAUGAAAACAA
Long non-coding RNA from Mesocricetus auratus (golden hamster), 794 nucleotides. RefSeq lists it as uncharacterized. The record is from RefSeq and is a predicted model, not a curated record. Lineage: Eukaryota; Metazoa; Chordata; Mammalia; Rodentia; Cricetidae. The transcript is spliced from 3 exons.